GAUGAACGCUAGCGGCAGGCUUAACACAUGCAAGUCGAGGGGUAUAGCACUUCGGUGCUAGAGACCGGCGCACGGGUGCGUAACGCGUAUGCAAUCUACCUUUCACAGAGGGAUAGCCCAGAGAAAUUUGGAUUAAUACCUCAUAGUAUAGUGAGUUGGCAUCAACACACUAUUAAAGUCACAACGGUGAAAGAUGAGCAUGCGUCCCAUUAGCUAGUUGGUAAGGUAACGGCUUACCAAGGCGACGAUGGGUAGGGGUCCUGAGAGGGAGAUCCCCCACACUGGUACUGAGACACGGACCAGACUCCUACGGGAGGCAGCAGUGAGGAAUAUUGGUCAAUGGACGCAAGUCUGAACCAGCCAUGCCGCGUGCAGGAUGACGGUCCUAUGGAUUGUAAACUGCUUUUGUACGAGAAGAAACACUCCAACGUGUUGGAG
This 438-nucleotide ribosomal RNA is filed under the name Flavobacterium sp. R-41965. RNAcentral's name for it is "bacterial SSU rRNA". It matches the Rfam family "Bacterial small subunit ribosomal RNA", at positions 28 to 467 of the family's 1533-position model. The record is from RNAcentral. Lineage: Bacteria; Pseudomonadati; Bacteroidota; Flavobacteriia; Flavobacteriales; Flavobacteriaceae.